This 75-nucleotide transfer RNA is filed under the name Ruminococcaceae bacterium FB2012. Its description in RNAcentral is "tRNA_Gln_CTG". It matches the Rfam family "tRNA". Rfam says of the family: Transfer RNA (tRNA) molecules are approximately 80 nucleotides in length. Their secondary structure includes four short double-helical elements and three loops (D, anti-codon, and T loops). The record is from RNAcentral. Lineage: Bacteria; Bacillati; Bacillota; Clostridia; Eubacteriales; Oscillospiraceae.
UUCCAUUUCGUCUAACAGGCAUGACAUCGGUCUCUGAAGCCGAAAAUGAAAGUUCGACUCUUUCAAUGGAAGCCA